GAUGAACGCUGGCGGCGUGCCUAAUACAUGCAAGUCGAGCGAACGGACGAGAAGCUUGCUUCUCUGAUGUUAGCGGCGGACGGGUGAGUAACACGUGGAUAACCUACCUAUAAGACUGGGAUAACUUCGGGAAACCGGAGCUAAUACCGGAUAAUAUUUUGAACCGCAUGGUUCAAAAGUGAAAGACGGUCUUGCUGUCACUUAUAAAUGGAUCCGCGCUGCAUUAGCUAGUUGGUAAGGUAACGGCUUACCAAGGCAACGAUGGAUAGCCGACCUGAGAGGGUGAACAGCCACCCUGGAAGUGAGACACGGUCCAGACUCAUACGGGAGGCAGCAGUAGGGAAUCCUCCGCAAUGGGCGAAAGCCUGAUGGAGCAACGCCGCGUGAGUGAUGAAGGUCUUCGGAUCGUAAAACUCUGUUAUUAGGGAAGAACAUAUGUGUAAGUAACUGUGCACAUCUUGACGGUACCUAAUCAGAAAGCCACGGCUAACUACGUG
Molecule: ribosomal RNA, 497 nt
Filed under: uncultured bacterium
Lineage: Bacteria
Description: partial 16S ribosomal RNA
Rfam family: Bacterial small subunit ribosomal RNA
Source: RNAcentral